This 24-nucleotide non-coding RNA is filed under the name Arabidopsis thaliana (thale cress). Lineage: Eukaryota; Viridiplantae; Streptophyta; Magnoliopsida; Brassicales; Brassicaceae. The record is from RNAcentral.
GAUGUACAAUCCAAGUGUACGAAU